This 253-nucleotide ribosomal RNA is filed under the name uncultured bacterium. RNAcentral describes it as "partial 16S ribosomal RNA". It matches the Rfam family "Bacterial small subunit ribosomal RNA", at positions 524 to 776 of the family's 1533-position model. The record is from RNAcentral.
UACGUAGGGCGCAAGCGUUAUCCGGAAUUAUUGGGCGUAAAGAGCUCGUAGGCGGCUUGUCGCGUCGAAUGUGAAAUCUCAGGGCUCAACUCUGACAUUGCAUUCGAUACGGGCAGGCUAGAGUUCGGUAGGGGAGACUGGAAUUCCUGGUGUAGCGGUGGAAUGCGCAGAUAUCAGGAGGAACACCGAUGGCGAAGGCAGAUCUCUGGGCCGUAACUGACGCUGAGGAGCGAAAGCGUGGGGAGCGAACAGG